AACCUGCCCAAGAGAUCGGGAUAACACCUGGAAACAGAUGCUAAUACCGGAUAACAACAGAUGAUGCCUAUCAACUGUUUAAAAGAUGGUUCUGCUACCACUCUUGGAUGGACCUGCGGUGCAUUAGCUAGUUGGUAGGGUAACGGCCUACCAAGGCGAUGAUGCAUAGCCGAGUUGAGAGACUGAUCGGCCACAUUGGGACUGAGACACGGCCCAAACUCCUACGGGAGGCAGCAGCA
This 239-nucleotide ribosomal RNA is filed under the name uncultured Lactobacillus sp. RNAcentral describes it as "partial 16S ribosomal RNA". It matches the Rfam family "Bacterial small subunit ribosomal RNA", at positions 123 to 355 of the family's 1533-position model. The record is from RNAcentral. Lineage: Bacteria; Bacillati; Bacillota; Bacilli; Lactobacillales; Lactobacillaceae.